AACACACCCUUUGACUUCAGUCAUUUUAUGUUCAUUUGUAACUUUGUAAAACUCAAGUAUUUGCUCUUUGUGUGUUUAGGCUGAAGAAGAACAAUCUUGGUGCACAAAGUGAUCUCUGUAUUGCUUCAGUGGAAAACAAGGGAACUGAGCAGAGAAGGCAGGUUGUGCCAAAACUUCCCUUAACCCCAUUAGACAACCUGAUCAACCACAGGGAAGAAUCACCCAUGAUGGCUCACAGGAGGCAAAAUUUUCACCCUCAAUACAAUGAGAAUUCAUCCUUGGUGGGAAACAAACUACCUAGAUCCAAUGGUGGCAAAAUUAAGGACAAAAUUUCUCUCUGGGAAGGAAAGGAACCCAGUAAUUCAUCUACUACCUCAGGUUCUUCAGGUCAGUCUGCUAUUGUAAAAAGGACAGAAUCCCUGACAAAAAGCAACCAUGAAACUGCUGGUGAGCUGAGUGCAGAGACUUGCAGAAGAGUGACCCAAAAGGAGAAAGAAAAUCUUGUGAAAGAGACUUCAGGAAAACUUGGCGAUUCGAGGCCUUGUUCACCUGAUGAAACAGGGAAAAAGCUAAGAGAGACACUUAAGAGCAGUAAGCCCUAUGCAAACCAAAAAGAAGACGAGUGGAAUAGAGCAGUUCACAAGCAAGAUCACGAGAAAGACAAUGUGGAAAAGCUUGGGGAUUCAAGACCAUGCUCACCUACGGUGGUGGUGCAACAGCAAGUUGGGCUGUUGAGGAAGAGCAAUGACAAGAGAGCAACAGAACAAAGCAGCCAGGAGAAGAGAGCAGUUUUUUCUCUCUUUAAAAAGCUGGAGGCCAUGGGGGAGAACCAUCAGAAAACACCUCCAGAGCUUGGAAACUACUUCAGCCCUCUGACUAAGGACAAACAGGUAGAGGUGAAAAAGAAAGACUCUGAAGCCCUCAGUGUGGGGGGUGCGAUGAAAUCCGAACAUGUGUACACAGAGCCGGGAGCGCCCCCGAUCAACCCAGUCCCCAAACCGAAACGUACCUUUGAGCAUCCAGCUGUUGCCACCAUGGGGAGGAAUCCAAGACAAGUGAGAGGACAGAGGAACCUGCCUCCACUGCCCUCCAUCUCUUCCAGAUCUUCGAGACUUCCUUCUGGUGUCUAUGGGAGACCCAGAGGCGAGAGAGCCCGAGACAGCAUCAAAAGGAAAUCCUUUGAGUUCGAAGAUCUCACAGGGCCGACAAGCCCGCCCUUCUCUCACUCAUCAUCUCAGGAACAUCAUUAUGAAGACAUCCUGGAUUCACCCAAGGAGAGCCCGUAUGAGGAUAUAGAGUUAGAGAGUCAUUGCUCCCAGCAGUCUUUGCCUUCCUCCCCUGGCGCUGAUACUAACAAGGUUCCUGCAGUACAAGCUGAGCAUGAUAACACUUCUGAUUUAGAGAUUAAAGGAGAACUGAUUUUUCUUCUUAUAGGCCUCAAGGCCUGGCUUCUUCAGGCAGAACUCAGGCAGGAGCUUUAAGCUUCUUGACCUGAGAAGGACCAACCCGCCGACCCACACUGCCAGCAGCAGCGGGGGCGUUUCAUCUCCACCCCAGCUCAGCCCUCCCUCCACCCCCACUUGUCCUGAACACACCUCCUGGCUGCCUGGAGAUCUCUACAGCCGCACCUCUCGCAGGAUACCAACGGUGUGAAUGCAUUUGAAUGUUAGACCAACACCACCAAAUCUCACACAUAAGACAAAUUUCUCAAAAUUUUUUUACCUCAAUUUUUUUAUUGAC
Echeneis naucrates (live sharksucker) is the source of this 1740-nucleotide long non-coding RNA. The record is from Ensembl. NCBI's taxonomy places the organism in Eukaryota, Metazoa, Chordata, Actinopteri, Carangiformes, Echeneidae.